This is a long non-coding RNA of Homo sapiens (human), 2208 nucleotides long. Ensembl annotates it as MIR7515 host gene. The record is from Ensembl. NCBI's taxonomy places the organism in Eukaryota, Metazoa, Chordata, Mammalia, Primates, Hominidae.
AUGGAAGCUGUGUUCAGGCCGGUCCACGCUGGGUGACCCAUGUGACCUGCUGCUUAGCAAUUCCUUGUCACCAUCUUCCCUUCUCAGCCUCUUUUUUCAUGCUAACAGGCAUAAAUGAAAUGAUAAAAGUUUGAGCUCUUCUCGUGGAAUUCUCGUGAUACAGAUAUGUGCUACAUGUUCAUCAUCUCGUUGGUCUUCACCAUGAUAACUGUGGAGUAAGAAUUAUAAGCAGGUCACAGAUUAGGGACUUGAGAUUGACAGUUUGGCUUCCCUGUUCUGGGUGGCAAAGCCUGUGGAGUACUCACCUACCUGCUGCAUGAAGGCAGCAUGGAGGGACUGUGGUGGAUUAUCUGCAAAGAUGGCCAAAAUUCUCUCAUCCCUGCAGGCACAUACAAGGUUGUUGCAUGGCAUAAGUAAAGUGACAGUUAUAGGAUACAUGCAACUUUUCAGUGACAAAGAUCUGUGCAGCAUCGACAGUACUGCCUAAUGAGGUUUCACCAUAAUGAAGUAUCACAACCAGUUUACAGACCAGAAAACUGAGACACAGGAAGGGGUGGUGACUUGAGCAAGGUGCAUCAGCUGCCAGGUUUCCAGAAGUUCCCCAGUCAUUGAGCAUUUCUGAGGCUCUUGAUGCAUAUGCCAAGUAGUUAUGGAGAAAGACACAGCAGCUUACCUCUGCAGGCAUCAUUGUGUGAAAGGAAGACCCAGGCUCUCUCACCACCCUUGAACAGAAGCCUUUUGCUAAGGUGAUAGCUACAUGUCCAAGCCUAUUGCGUGGCAUGCAUUUUGCCUUCUGCAGCCCACUAAAGGAAAUUGAAGUAUACAGAAUGCUUAUUUGGUCUACUCAGUAUCAUCCUAAAUGUAUGUACCAAUGCUUAGGAGUUUGCAGUUCACCCGCAAACCUCAGCGAUCCAAGCUCCCCUGGAUGACCAUCACUCACCAAGAAAAGAGCAAUAACAGGACCUGUUUUGCUAAUCCAGGACUGUUCUCCAGCACUAACUCUAAAUAAUCCCUUCUGCUAGAGUCCACUUUCUGGAACCUGUUGCCUCCGUUUUCAACGUUUCCCAAACUUGGUCCGUUGUGUGAGCUGGCUGAUAAAAGUUCCAGGGAGAAGACAUCUUACUCUUAUUGGAUCAUGCACAGUGCCUGAAGCAUUCUGUUGCAUGUAGAAGUCAGUAAAUUGCAGAUGUAAGAUUCAAAACCAGACUUCACAUCUACCGACUUCAGUGACCCUGAAAUUUGUUCACAGAGAGCAUUUAACAUAACUGUCUUCAUCAUCUCCUUCUCUACAUUAAAAAUUAUGGAAAAGUUGCUAAAACUGCUGUGAGAUUCUGGCUAAGAAAGUUUCAUGAGAAGUUUUACAGAAAAAUGUGAACGGAAGACAGAACUAGAUAUAAAUUUGAAUGUUUUGAGAAGAAUGCGAAGAAGAAAGGAAGAGUGAGCCUCUCUUUCCCAUCGUUACCCUCCAUUGUCCUCUUGACACCCUGCUUUCACAGAGAAAGAGUUUGAGACCCUCUCCCAGGAGCCAAGGAGAGGGGAACAGCUGGCUUCACAUCAUCUUUCUAUUCAACAAGAUACAAAAAGCUGAAGCCAGGAUGAUAGAAAAGCAACAAAGAAGACACGGUCCUUACUCAUUUCCCUUCCCACUUCAGAGCAAAUAUGGUGCCUGGUGUUCGAAGGGAGAACUUGUGGGCAGAGCAGGAAGCGUGAGUAUGGUUGAAGGAUCAAAUAUUUGGUUCAGGCAUCAGGGAGCCAGCAAGACUAUGAUGCUGGGAAACACAAGUGAUGUACUGUUGGAUUUAAUCUACUUGGAAAAAACCUAGGAAAACCAAAAUGUCAUCAACUAACACCUGAAAUGCCUCAGCACCAUCUGUCUCCAACAUUAAACAAAACCCACGAGAUUCCAGGAGAAAGAAAAUAGGAAAUUUAAUGAUGAACUUAACCUGAGUAACUUGAUAAAUGUUACCUUUGUGGCUAGCCAUUCACCAGCAAGUCCCUAAAAUGACCUGAAACCUGAAGAGUGUUUCACCCAUGAAAGGGUUUGCUCUCUCUGGGCAUGGCUACCCAGCACAUAUGUUAGUCAACUUUCUUUCCCUUGCAGGGCCCCUUGGAAAACUAGUUUGAAUCAUUCAUUAACUCAGCUCCACUCCUUCCCUUUCCCAUGGACCAUAGUUUCUUUGAGCAAUUAAAACUUAUAAGACACCAAAA